GACGAACGCUGGCGGCGUGCUUAACACAUGCAAGUCGAACGGAAAGGCCCUGCUUUUGUGGGGUGCUCGAGUGGCGAACGGGUGAGUAACACGUGAGUAACCUGCCCUUGACUUUGGGAUAACUUCAGGAAACUGGGGCUAAUACCGGAUAGGAGCUCCUGCUGCAUGGUGGGGGUUGGAAAGUUUCGGCGGUUGGGGAUGGACUCGCGGCUUAUCAGCUUGUUGGUGGGGUAGUGGCUUACCAAGGCUUUGACGGGUAGCCGGCCUGAGAGGGUGACCGGCCACAUUGGGACUGAGAUACGGCCCAGACUCCUACGGGAGGCAGCAGUGGGGAAUAUUGCACAAUGGGCGGAAGCCUGAUGCAGCAACGCCGCGUGCGGGAUGACGGCCUUCGGGUUGCAAACCGCUUUCGCCAGUGACGAAGCGUGAGUGACGGUAAUGGGUAAAGAAGCACCGGCUAACUACGUG
Molecule: ribosomal RNA, 468 nt
Filed under: uncultured bacterium
Lineage: Bacteria
Description: partial 16S ribosomal RNA
Rfam family: Bacterial small subunit ribosomal RNA
Source: RNAcentral